This is a non-coding RNA of Hypoxylon fuscum, 75 nucleotides long. The record is from the annotation of a GenBank genome assembly. Lineage: Eukaryota; Fungi; Ascomycota; Sordariomycetes; Xylariales; Hypoxylaceae.
AGCUUCAUGGCGCAAUGGUAGCACACCAGGUUUAGCAUAUCUUUGAAAUCCUCCGUUCGAAUCGGAGAGAAGCUA